AACGAACGCUGGCGGCAUGCCUAACACAUGCAAGUCGAACGAGACCUUCGGGUCUAGUGGCGCACGGGUGCGUAACACGUGGGAAUCUGCCCUUUGCUUCGGAAUAACAGUUAGAAAUGACUGCUAAUACCGGAUGAUGUCGAAAGACCAAAGAUUUAUCGGCAAAGGAUGAGCCCGCGUAGGAUUAGGUAGUUGGUGGGGUAAAGGCCUACCAAGCCGACGAUCCUUAGCUGGUCUGAGAGGAUGAUCAGCCACACUGGGACUGAGACACGGCCCAGACUCCUACGGGAGGCAGCAGUGGGGAAUAUUGGACAAUGGGCGAAAGCCUGAUCCAGUAAUGCCGCGUGAGUGAUGAAGGCCUUAGGGUUGUAAAGCUCUUUUACCAGGGAUGAUAAUGACAGUACCUGGAGAAUAAGCUCCGGCUAACUCCGUG
This 433-nucleotide ribosomal RNA is filed under the name uncultured bacterium. RNAcentral's name for it is "partial 16S ribosomal RNA". It matches the Rfam family "Bacterial small subunit ribosomal RNA", at positions 29 to 507 of the family's 1533-position model. The record is from RNAcentral.